GACGAACGCUGGCGGCGUGCUUAACACAUGCAAGUCGAACGGAAAGGCCCUGCUUUUGUGGGGUGCUCGAGUGGCGAACGGGUGGGUAACACGUGAGUAACCUGCCCUUGACUUUGGGAUAACUUCAGGAAACUGGGGCUAAUACCGGAUAGGAGCUCCUGCUGCAUGGUGGGGGUUGGAAAGUUUCGGCGGUUGGGGAUGGACUCGCGGCUUAUCAGCUUGUUGGUGGGGUAGUGGCUUACCAAGGCUUUGACGGGUAGCCGGCCUGGGAGGGUGACCGGCCACAUUGGGACUGAGAUACGGCCCAGACUCCUACGGGAGGCAGCAGUGGGGAAUUUUGCACAGUGGGCGGAAGCCUGAUGCAGCAACGCCGCGUGCUGGAUAACGGCCUUCGGGUUGUAAACCGCUUUCGCCUGUGACGAAGCGUGAGUGACGGUAAUGGGUAAAGAAGCACCGGCUAACUACGUG
Molecule: ribosomal RNA, 468 nt
Filed under: uncultured bacterium
Lineage: Bacteria
Description: partial 16S ribosomal RNA
Rfam family: Bacterial small subunit ribosomal RNA
Source: RNAcentral